This 2246-nucleotide ribosomal RNA is filed under the name Escherichia coli. RNAcentral describes it as "partial 23S ribosomal RNA". It matches the Rfam family "Bacterial large subunit ribosomal RNA", at positions 711 to 2925 of the family's 2925-position model. Lineage: Bacteria; Pseudomonadati; Pseudomonadota; Gammaproteobacteria; Enterobacterales; Enterobacteriaceae. The record is from RNAcentral.
AGACCCGAAACCCGGUGAUCUAGCCAUGGGCAGGUUGAAGGUUGGGUAACACUAACUGGAGGACCGAACCGACUAAUGUUGAAAAAUUAGCGGAUGACUUGUGGCUGGGGGUGAAAGGCCAAUCAAACCGGGAGAUAGCUGGUUCUCCCCGAAAGCUAUUUAGGUAGCGCCUCGUGAAUUCAUCUCCGGGGGUAGAGCACUGUUUCGGCAAGGGGGUCAUCCCGACUUACCAACCCGAUGCAAACUGCGAAUACCGGAGAAUGUUAUCACGGGAGACACACGGCGGGUGCUAACGUCCGUCGUGAAGAGGGAAACAACCCAGACCGCCAGCUAAGGUCCCAAAGUCAUGGUUAAGUGGGAAACGAUGUGGGAAGGCCCAGACAGCCAGGAUGUUGGCUUAGAAGCAGCCAUCAUUUAAAGAAAGCGUAAUAGCUCACUGGUCGAGUCGGCCUGCGCGGAAGAUGUAACGGGGCUAAACCAUGCACCGAAGCUGCGGCAGCGACACUGUGUGUUGUUGGGUAGGGGAGCGUUCUGUAAGCCUGUGAAGGUGUGCUGUGAGGCAUGCUGGAGGUAUCAGAAGUGCGAAUGCUGACAUAAGUAACGAUAAAGCGGGUGAAAAGCCCGCUCGCCGGAAGACCAAGGGUUCCUGUCCAACGUUAAUCGGGGCAGGGUGAGUCGACCCCUAAGGCGAGGCCGAAAGGCGUAGUCGAUGGGAAACAGGUUAAUAUUCCUGUACUUGGUGUUACUGCGAAGGGGGGACGGAGAAGGCUAUGUUGGCCGGGCGACGGUUGUCCCGGUUUAAGCGUGUAGGCUGGUUUUCCAGGCAAAUCCGGAAAAUCAAGGCUGAGGCGUGAUGACGAGGCACUACGGUGCUGAAGCAACAAAUGCCCUGCUUCCAGGAAAAGCCUCUAAGCAUCAGGUAACAUCAAAUCGUACCCCAAACCGACACAGGUGGUCAGGUAGAGAAUACCAAGGCGCUUGAGAGAACUCGGGUGAAGGAACUAGGCAAAAUGGUGCCGUAACUUCGGGAGAAGGCACGCUGAUAUGUAGGUGAAGUCCCUCGCGGAUGGAGCUGAAAUCAGUCGAAGAUACCAGCUGGCUGCAACUGUUUAUUAAAAACACAGCACUGUGCAAACACGAAAGUGGACGUAUACGGUGUGACGCCUGCCCGGUGCCGGAAGGUUAAUUGAUGGGGUCAGCGCAAGCGAAGCUCUUGAUCGAAGCCCCGGUAAACGGCGGCCGUAACUAUAACGGUCCUAAGGUAGCGAAAUUCCUUGUCGGGUAAGUUCCGACCUGCACGAAUGGCGUAAUGAUGGCCAGGCUGUCUCCACCCGAGACUCAGUGAAAUUGAACUCGCUGUGAAGAUGCAGUGUACCCGCGGCAAGACGGAAAGACCCCGUGAACCUUUACUAUAGCUUGACACUGAACAUUGAGCCUUGAUGUGUAGGAUAGGUGGGAGGCUUUGAAGUGUGGACGCCAGUCUGCAUGGAGCCGACCUUGAAAUACCACCCUUUAAUGUUUGAUGUUCUAACGUGGACCCGUGAUCCGGGUUGCGGACAGUGUCUGGUGGGUAGUUUGACUGGGGCGGUCUCCUCCUAAAGAGUAACGGAGGAGCACGAAGGUUGGCUAAUCCUGGUCGGACAUCAGGAGGUUAGUGCAAUGGCAUAAGCCAGCUUGACUGCGAGCGUGACGGCGCGAGCAGGUGCGAAAGCAGGUCAUAGUGAUCCGGUGGUUCUGAAUGGAAGGGCCAUCGCUCAACGGAUAAAAGGUACUCCGGGGAUAACAGGCUGAUACCGCCCAAGAGUUCAUAUCGACGGCGGUGUUUGGCACCUCGAUGUCGGCUCAUCACAUCCUGGGGCUGAAGUAGGUCCCAAGGGUAUGGCUGUUCGCCAUUUAAAGUGGUACGCGAGCUGGGUUUAGAACGUCGUGAGACAGUUCGGUCCCUAUCUGCCGUGGGCGCUGGAGAACUGAGGGGGGCUGCUCCUAGUACGAGAGGACCGGAGUGGACGCAUCACUGGUGUUCGGGUUGUCAUGCCAAUGGCACUGCCCGGUAGCUAAAUGCGGAAGAGAUAAGUGCUGAAAGCAUCUAAGCACGAAACUUGCCCCGAGAUGAGUUCUCCCUGACCCUUUAAGGGUCCUGAAGGAACGUUGAAGACGACGACGUUGAUAGGCCGGGUGUGUAAGCGCAGCGAUGCGUUGAGCUAACCGGUACUAAUGAACCGUGAGGCUUAACCUUACAACGCCGA